Camelina sativa (false flax) is the source of this 172-nucleotide non-coding RNA. The record is from RefSeq and is a predicted model, not a curated record. Lineage: Eukaryota; Viridiplantae; Streptophyta; Magnoliopsida; Brassicales; Brassicaceae.
ACAUAUUCAAGAAAUGUGUAAGGGGAGCCUUAAAAGGAAAGACUAUAUUGCUAGUAACUCAUCAAGUAGACUUCCUUCACAACGUUGAUCGCAUCUUGGUUAUGCGAGAUGGAAUAAUCGUGCAAUCAGGAAGAUACGACGAACUAGUGAGCUCCGGGUUAGAUUUUGGGGA